Molecule: ribosomal RNA, 753 nt
Filed under: Glomus sp.
Lineage: Eukaryota; Fungi; Glomeromycota; Glomeromycetes; Glomerales; Glomeraceae
Description: SSU rRNA
Rfam family: Eukaryotic small subunit ribosomal RNA
Source: RNAcentral
GGCCUACCAUGGUGACAACGGGUAACGGGGAAUUAGGGUUUGAUUCCGGAGAGGGAGCCUGAGAAACGGCUCCCGGACCUACGGGACACAGCAGGCGCGCAAAUUACCCAAUCCCAACACGGGGAGGUAGUGACAAUAAAUAACAAUACGGGGUUCUUUCGGAUCUCGUAAUUGGAAUGAGUACAAUUUAAAUCUCUUAACGAGGAACAAUUGGAGGGCAAGUCUGGUGCCAGCAGCCGCGGUAAUUCCAGCUCCAAUAGCGUAUAUUAAAGUUGUUGCAGUUAAAAAGCUCGUAGUUGAAUUUCGGGAUCAUCAUGUCGGUCGUGCCUCCGGUACGUACUGGCAUCGUUGAUUUCUACCUUCUGACGAACCAUGAUGUCAUUAAUUUGGUGUCAUGGGGAAUCAGGACUGUUACUUUGAAAAAAUUAGAGUGUUUAAAGCAGGCACACGCUUGAAUACAUUAGCAUGGAAUAAUGAAAUAGGACGUUUGACCCUAUUUUGUUGGUUUCUAGGAUCGACGUAAUGAUUAAUAGGGAUAGUUGGGGGCAUUAGUAUUCAAUUGUCAGAGGUGAAAUUCUUGGAUUUAUUGAAGACUAACUACUGCGAAAGCAUUUGCCAAGGAUGUUUUCAUUAAUCAAGAACGAAAGUUAGGGGAUCGAAGACGAUCAGAUACCGUCGUAGUCUUAACCAUAAACUAUGCCGACUAGGGAUCGGAUGAUGUUAAUUUUUUAAUGACUCAUUCGGCGCCUUACG